Long non-coding RNA from Nothoprocta perdicaria, 250 nucleotides. RefSeq lists it as uncharacterized. Lineage: Eukaryota; Metazoa; Chordata; Aves; Tinamiformes; Tinamidae. The record is from RefSeq and is a predicted model, not a curated record. The transcript is spliced from 3 exons.
CUUGUAACAUCUGAACAGGAAUGAUCUCCAUGAAUAGCCAGGUUAGGCUAAGUGACCAACAGGAGCACCAGAGCAUCGAAACCGGCUCACGGAGCAUUGCUUUGGGGAGGAGAGGGGGCUUGGUUACCGUCGGAUAGACUGGUUUGUCUGCUCCGUUCACAACUUGUCCCUUAGGACUUCAGCAACUUCSCAGACCUCCCGUUCUCCUUUUCCCCCCAGCUGURGUUUGAAAGGACAGUUCCUCUCUGCA